CCUACGGGAGGCAGCAGUGGGGAAUUUUGGACAAUGGGCGCAAGCCUGAUCCAGCCAUGCCGCGUGCGGGAAGAAGGCCUUCGGGUUGUAAACCGCUUUUGUCAGGGAAGAAAUCCUUUGGGUUAAUACCUCGGAGGGAUGACGGUACCUGAAGAAUAAGCACCGGCUAACUACGUGCCAGCAGCCGCGGUAAUACGUAGGGUGCGAGCGUUAAUCGGAAUUACUGGGCGUAAAGCGUGCGCAGGCGGUUAUGCAAGACAGAUGUGAAAUCCCCGGGCUCAACCUGGGAACUGCAUUUGUGACUGCAUAGCUAGAGUACGGUAGAGGGGGAUGGAAUUCCGCGUGUAGCAGUGAAAUGCGUAGAUAUGCGGAGGAACACCGAUGGCGAAGGCAAUCCCCCUGGACCUGUACUGACGCUCAUGCACGAAAGCGUGGGGAGCAAACAGGAUUAGAUGCCCUGGUAGUCCACGCCCUAAACGAUGUCAACUGGUUGUUGGACGGCUUGCUGUUCAGUACGAAGCUAACGCGUGAAGUUGACCGCCUGGGAGUCGCGCAGUGACUAAGAAGUUGA
Molecule: ribosomal RNA, 571 nt
Filed under: uncultured bacterium
Lineage: Bacteria
Description: bacterial SSU rRNA
Rfam family: Bacterial small subunit ribosomal RNA
Source: RNAcentral